RNAcentral lists this ribosomal RNA (523 nucleotides) under uncultured Actinomycetes bacterium. Its description in RNAcentral is "bacterial SSU rRNA". It matches the Rfam family "Bacterial small subunit ribosomal RNA", at positions 382 to 896 of the family's 1533-position model. The record is from RNAcentral. Lineage: Bacteria; Bacillati; Actinomycetota; Actinomycetes.
CGUGACGCAGCAACGCCGCGUGAGGGAAGAAGGCCUUCGGGUUGUAAACCUCUUUCAGGAGGGACGAAGGUUCAGGCGCGAAUAGCGUCCUGGACUGACGGUACCUCCAGAAGAAGCCCCGGCUAACUACGUGCCAGCAGCCGCGGUAAUACGUAGGGGGCUAGCGUUGUCCGGAAUCAUUGGGCGUAAAGCGCGCGUAGGCGGCCCGGUAAGUCCGCUGUAAAAGUCAAAGGCUCAACCUUUGAAUGUCAGUGGAAACUGCCGGGCUAGAGUCCGGAAGAGGCGAGUGGAAUUCCUGGUGUAGCGGUGGAAUGCGCAGAUAUCAGGAGGAACACCAACGGCGAAGGCAGCUCGCUGGGACGGUACUGACGCUAAGGCGCGAAAGCGUGGGGAGCGAACAGGAUUAGAUACCCUGGUAGUCCACGCCGUAAACGAUGGGCACUAGGUGUGGGAGGUGUCGACUCCUCCCGUGCCGGCGCUAACGCAUUAAGUGCCCCGCCUGGGGAGUACGGCCGCAAGGCUA